RNAcentral lists this ribosomal RNA (694 nucleotides) under uncultured bacterium. RNAcentral's name for it is "bacterial SSU rRNA". It matches the Rfam family "Bacterial small subunit ribosomal RNA", at positions 32 to 715 of the family's 1533-position model. The record is from RNAcentral.
AACGCUAGCUACAGGCUUAACACAUACAAGUCGAGGGGCAGCAUGAACUUAGCUUGCUAAGUUUGAUGGCGACCGGCGCACGGGUGAGUAACGCGUAUCCAACCUUCCGUACACUCAGGAAUAGCCUUUCGAAAGAAAGAUUAAUACCUGAUGGUAUGAUGAGAUUGCAUGAAAUCAUCAUUAAAGAUUCAUCGGUGUACGAUGGGGAUGCGUUCCAUUAGAUAGUAGGCGGGGUAACGGCCCACCUAGUCUACGAUGGAUAGGGGUUCUGAGAGGAAGGUCCCCCACAUUGGAACUGAGACACGGUCCAAACUCCUACGGGAGGCAGCAGUGAGGAAUAUUGGUCAAUGGGCGCGAGCCUGAACCAGCCAAGUAGCGUGAAGGAUGAAGGUCCUACGGAUUGUAAACUUCUUUUAUAAGGGAAUAAAGUCACCCACGUGUGGGUGUUUGUAUGUACCUUAUGAAUAAGCAUCGGCUAACUCCGUGCCAGCAGCCGCGGUAAUACGGAGGAUGCGAGCGUUAUCCGGAUUUAUUGGGUUUAAAGGGAGCGUAGACGGGUCGUUAAGUCAGCUGUGAAAGUUUGAGGCUCAACCUUAAAAUUGCAGUUGAUACUGGCGUCCUUGAGUACGGUUGAGGCAGGCGGAAUUCGUGGUGUAGCGGUGAAAUGCUUAGAUAUCACGAAGAACUCCGAUUG